This is a non-coding RNA of Cyanistes caeruleus (blue tit), 358 nucleotides long. NCBI's taxonomy places the organism in Eukaryota, Metazoa, Chordata, Aves, Passeriformes, Paridae. The record is from RefSeq and is a predicted model, not a curated record.
UAUUAUGUCACUAAUUAGAGACCCUUAACUGACUAGGACAGGAGAUGUUCACAACAACUUGGUGGGGUGAGAGGAGUGACAAACAGUGUACCACUCUGCUUCAGAUGUUUUGCAGUGGAACCAGCACUCCUUUCCCUAAGCCCUUGGCUCUCAGCAUUCACUGGAAACAUUUUCCAGCUGUGAGAUGAAAGGAAUGCUUGUGUUGGUCCUGUUAAUCACACGUGCACAGUGAUAUGUUCAACAUAUCUGUCUCUCCACUGUUUUUUCAAAUAGAGAAAACAGGCAAGAAGAAAGCAUGGAGGACUUAGGACAAACCACAACAAACAUGAACUGAAAGCUGCUGGGGAAGCAGAAUGAA